AACGAACGCUGGCGGCGUGCUUAACACAUGCAAGUCGAACGGAAAGGCCCCUUUCUUGGUACUCUAGCGGCGAACGGGGGAGUAACACGUGAGUAACCUGCCCCUGACUUCAGGAUAACGUUAGGAAACUGGGGCUAAUACCGGAUCCGAAUCCUUUCUUCAUGGUGGGGGUUCGAAAGCUUCGGCGGGUUUGGCUGGACUGGCUGCUUAGCUGCUUGUUGGUGGGGUAGUGGCUUACCAAGGCGUGUUCGGGUAGCCGGACUGAGGGGGCGACCGGCGAUACUGAGACUGAGGGAAGGCCCAGACUCGUACGGGUGGGAGAAGGGGGGAAGAUUGCCCGAGCGGCGGAAGGCUGAUGAAGCAGCGCCGCGUGCGGGAUAACGGUGUUAGUGUGGUAGACCGAUUGCAGAAGGAGCGAAGCUUGUGGUGACGGUACCUGAAGAAGAAGCACCGGCUAACUACGUG
This 465-nucleotide ribosomal RNA is filed under the name uncultured bacterium. Its description in RNAcentral is "partial 16S ribosomal RNA". It matches the Rfam family "Bacterial small subunit ribosomal RNA", at positions 28 to 507 of the family's 1533-position model. The record is from RNAcentral.